UAACCGUAGGUGAACCUGCGGUUGGAUCAUUAUAAAAUGAUUAGUCCUGUGGUUUAAGUGGUCUUUGUGAUCCUUGCUGCAGGGCGAAACACCACUGUGCAACUUAAUUGUAUUUGGGUUAAGUCUGGUAGGUUACUACUGGAGUCUUUGCCUCGGUAAAGAUGCUUGGUUUUAACGGGUAACCGAUAGAACUGUGGCCGUGGAAUCUCAGCAACUGCCCGAGGUUUAUCCUUGGAAAGGCGCUUAAGAAUGCUGAACCCGCCUAUUUAAACAACCUUAUAAUUUGUCUGACUUUUGUAUUCUAUGAAUCAAAAACAACUUUUAACAACGGAUCUCUUGGCUCUC
RNAcentral lists this unclassified non-coding RNA (345 nucleotides) under plant metagenome. Its description in RNAcentral is "partial contains small subunit ribosomal RNA, internal transcribed spacer 1, and 5.8S ribosomal RNA". The record is from RNAcentral.